Culicoides brevitarsis is the source of this 72-nucleotide non-coding RNA. The record is from the annotation of a RefSeq genome assembly. NCBI's taxonomy places the organism in Eukaryota, Metazoa, Arthropoda, Insecta, Diptera, Ceratopogonidae.
GGUCCUAUGGUGUAAUGGUUAGCAUAUGAGACUCUGAAUCUCAGGAUCCCAGUUCGAGUCUGGGUAGGACCU